AUUGAACGCUGGCGGCAGGCCUAACACAUGCAAGUCGGACGGUAGCACAGAGGAGCUUGCUCCUCGGGUGACGAGUGGCGGACGGGUGAGUAAUGUCUGGGGAUCUGCCCGAUAGAGGGGGAUAACCACUGGAAACGGUGGCUAAUACCGCAUAACGUCGCAAGACCAAAGAGGGGGACCUUCGGGCCUCUCCAUAUCGGAUGAACCCAGAUGGGAUUAGCUAGUAGGCGGAGUAAUGGCCCACCUAGGCGACGAUCCCUAGCUGGUCUGAGAGGAUGACCAGCCACACUGGAACUGAGACACGGUCCAGACUCCUACGGGAGGCAGCAGUGGGGAAUAUUGCACAAUGGGCGCAAGCCUGAUGCAGCCAUGCCGCGUGUAUGAAGAAGGCCUUCGGGUUGUAAAGUACUUUCAGCGGGGAGGAAGGCGGUGAGGUUAAUAACCUUGCCGAUUGACGUUACCCGCAGAAGAAGCACCGGCUAACUCCGUGCCAGCAGCCGCCGUAA
RNAcentral lists this ribosomal RNA (506 nucleotides) under uncultured bacterium. RNAcentral's name for it is "partial 16S ribosomal RNA". It matches the Rfam family "Bacterial small subunit ribosomal RNA", at positions 29 to 523 of the family's 1533-position model. The record is from RNAcentral.